This 253-nucleotide ribosomal RNA is filed under the name uncultured bacterium. Its description in RNAcentral is "partial 16S ribosomal RNA". It matches the Rfam family "Bacterial small subunit ribosomal RNA", at positions 524 to 776 of the family's 1533-position model. The record is from RNAcentral.
UACGGGGGGGGCAAGCGUUGUUCGGAAUUACUGGGCGUAAAGGGCUCGUAGGGGGCCAACUAAGUCAGACGUGAAAUCCCUCGGCUUAACCGGGGAACUGCAUCUGAUACUGGAUGGCUUGAGUUCGGGAGAGGGAUGCGGAAUUCCAGGUGUAGCGGUGAAAUGCGUAGAUAUCUGGAGGAACACCGGUGGCGAAGGCGGCUCACUGGCCCGGUACUGACGCUGAGGUGCGAAAGCGUGGGGAGCAAACAGG